RNAcentral lists this ribosomal RNA (326 nucleotides) under uncultured eukaryote. RNAcentral describes it as "partial 18S ribosomal RNA". It matches the Rfam family "Eukaryotic small subunit ribosomal RNA", at positions 1470 to 1796 of the family's 1831-position model. The record is from RNAcentral.
UCCUUAGAUGUCCUGGGCCGCACGCGCGCUACACUGAACGGAUCAGCGCGUUUUCCCUUCCCGAGAGGGACGGGUAACCUGCUGAACCCCGUUCGUGGUAGGGAUCGGGGCUUGCAAUUAUUCCCCGUGAACCAGGAAUGCCCAGUAAGUGCAAGUCAUAAGCUUGCGUUGAUUACGUCCCUGCCCUUUGUACACACCGCCCGUCGCUACUACCGAUUGAACGUUUUAGUGAGGUACUCGGACUGAGCCUCAGAAGAUUCACGUCUUUUGUGCUGCUCGGGAAGAUUCCCAAACUUGAGCGUUUAGAGGAAGUAAAAGUCGUAACA